UACGGGGGGGGCAAGCGUUGUUCGGAAUUACUGGGCGUAAAGGGCUCGUAGGCGGCCAACUAAGUCAGACGUGAAAUCCCUCAGCUUAACUGGGGAACUGCGUCUGAUACUGGAUGGCUAGAGUGUGGGAGAGGGAUGCGGAAUUCCAGGUGUAGCGGUGAAAUGCGUAGAUAUCUGGAGGAACACCGGUGGCGAAGGCAGCUCGCUGGGACGGUACUGACGCUGAGGCGCGAAAGCGUGGGGAGCGAACAGG
Molecule: ribosomal RNA, 253 nt
Filed under: uncultured bacterium
Lineage: Bacteria
Description: partial 16S ribosomal RNA
Rfam family: Bacterial small subunit ribosomal RNA
Source: RNAcentral